RNAcentral lists this unclassified non-coding RNA (270 nucleotides) under uncultured fungus. RNAcentral's name for it is "partial contains 5.8S ribosomal RNA, internal transcribed spacer 2, and large subunit ribosomal RNA". The stretch from base 1 to 52 matches the Rfam family "5.8S ribosomal RNA", at positions 103 to 154 of the family's 154-position model. The record is from RNAcentral. Lineage: Eukaryota; Fungi.
AACGCACAUUGCGCCCGCUAGUAUUCUGGCGGGCAUGCCUGUCUGAGCGUCAUUUCAACCCUCACGCCCGGCUUCGUGUCGGGGGUGGUGUUGGGGAUCGGCCUCCCGUUUGCGGGCGGCCGGCCCCGAAAUAGAGUGGCGACCACGCCGUAGCCUCCUCUGCGUAGUAGUUAAAAACCUCGCAGGCGGAGAGCGGUGCGGCCUGCCGUAAAACCCCCCAACUCUUCUAAGGUUGACCUCAGAUCAGGUAGGAAUACCCGCUGAACUUAA